UAUGUUGAACAUCAACCAAGAACCAGACUAGCCAAAUCACACUCUUCAACCCUCAAAACCAUCGGACAAAUAGCAAAACCCAUUGAUUUGAUAUCUCGUCAUUUGAUCUUUCUAUUUUUGGUCUCAAUCAAUAUCACCGGCCUUCCCAUCACCCUUUGUUGAAGCAAAUACUCUGUAAUUUCAUCAAAAGAAGGACAAAUCCAAAGACCCAUCAAUUUCAAGGUAUUUUUCCUUUGAUUCGAUGGCUUCCCAUCUUAAACCGCUGGGGCUUUCCCAAGAAUUCAAAUUUUGAAUUCUUGGGUACCUGAGAAUCGUUGCAAUCCCCUUAAAUUUGGCUAUAAAUUGAGCCAUUAAGCUCCUAUUUUGAUCAGCCAGAAAGGAAUCAUCAAGAAUCAUCAAAUCUCCGACGAGGAAAAACUAGUCUGCUGCUCCACAAAAGGUAAUCACAUUCACCUUUCAUUUCGGUUUGGUUCCUAGAAAUAAAAUGUAGUCGUUCAAUAUUCUUUUUGCUUUGUCGGAAUUCUACCUAUUUGGAUGUGUUGGUUUUUCAUUAUUUCCUGUAGUUUUAAUCUGUAAAAUAAAAUGGUUAACGAUAACUGAUAAUAUUUAUAGAAACUAUUGGUGAAUAAGCUUUUCGUUCACAUCGUUAUGUUCUAAAGUCCGUCGAAACCUGUUAUGCCGUUCUUGUUCUAGAAUCGCUGUCAAGUGGUUUUAAAAAAUGAACUUGAACGUUUAGGUAGAUGGGAUCACUUUGCUGUGCGUUAAGGAUUUGUGUGUGAAUGAAAGGUUCUUUUACUGGCUACCCAUCUCUAUCUCAAAUUCGACACAUCUAAAAAUUAGUUUAUAUUUAGUUUAUUUGAAAGUCAUUACUGGACGAUUUCGUUAACCCAAAAUUGGCAAAGUAUUGGUUCUGAGUUUUAGCUUUGUCGAAAGGGUGAAGUUGUAGGUCUAAAUUUGAUUGCGAUGUUCUGUUUCAAAUUCAUAGAAUUGACUAAGACACAUUUUUGGAUAAUCUGCAACCCUCAUUUUAACUUAGCAGGUGCAUAAAAUUUGGUGAAACUGAGGCUUCUUACUUGUUUUUGUUUGUUAAUAGGUAUAUAUAAGUAGAAACAAAAGUGUUAACUCAAUAAUCUCUUUUUCUCCUCACGAUUACAAAUAAUAAGUUGUCUGCAGUAGGUUUCUUCUUAUGAUUGUUGCUAUGUACUCAAAUGUUUUGUCAUUUGAAUUUAUAGUGUGUCCCUCAUAACCAAGAGGCUUACGAAGUGAGCAAUUAGGAAUCUUUUUGAUAGUAAACUAAAAACAAUGUGAGAUCGUGAACUUUAUGUGCUAUCUGGUGAUUAGAUUUUAGUUUGGUAAUCUGCAUUGUCAUCGGGUCUAAUAUCAAAUUUAGAACGCAUUUGCGUUUCAGCUUACCUUAAUGAUUCUUAGUGAUUUUAUUCUUGCAGUAAACAAUGUCUUUUAUCCAUGAAUCAUGUUUUAAGAUCAUGUGUUGAUGCCUACCAUCUCUUUUUGGAAAUUAACUCAUUCUUUCCAUCUUUAUAGUAUAUAAAACAUGCUCAUAGAGGUUUGUUUAGAAGGUCGUUAGCCAUACUUUUUGGACGUUACUUAAUUAAUCUUUAGUUACAUACUUAAACCAUGUUUCCAGAUUUUCAUCAGUCUCCCAUGUAAAGGUGUUCUGUUUAUACUUUGUGGUUAUGGGUUUGUUUCAAAAUUUCUCUUUGUUCUUGCCUAUGGUAAGUAGAGAUGAGUAUAUUUCAGCUUCGCGAUUAAUCACCUUAGGACACGUCGAAUCCUUAAACCUCGCCCAAAAUGUGUGUCUAAGAACGGCAUAAAGAACUUCUUUUUGAUAUUUUUUUGUGGACUGUGAGUUUUCAUCUUUUUUUUACUCUUUUUUUGUGUAAGCAUUUGUUUAAAAACCAGAUUUUGAGUUCACGGAAGUUCAUAUAUAUAGCUAUCAUAGUUAAGAAGUACUCUUGAUAAAAAUGUGAACAUCAUAUCUUCUAUAGAAAUUAUAUUGUUAGGAAUUAUUUUGGUAGUACAUUGACUAAAUAAUUCAGUGUGUUUAGGUAGGUUUGCUGAAAGACACCAAGUGUUGGUCGUACUUAAUCUCCGGUGUUGCUCAACUAAUAUCUUUAAUAUUCUUGUUGGAGAGAAAUCUUUAGUAUGUUCUUAAUUAUUUAUUAUACCUAGAACUGCUAAAUGGGUGUUUUUUUAAAACUAUUGUAUGGGUAUUUAUCAUAUUAGUUGGAAACUAUGAACCGUUCUAUGCCUACAUGAUAUAUGCAAGUCAUGUUGAUUAAGUUAUAUUUCUCCAAGCAAUCUUUGUUCAGUUUUUUUUUUUUAGAACAUGACGGUAAGAAAUUAAUUUGUCAAUAAUGUUGUUUCCAUUGGCUAAUUAGCAAGUUUUCAAGUAUGAUUACUUAAACUAGUUUUCUUAUAAAGAACAUGAUAAAAUCAAUAAGUGGAUUCUUCUUAAAAAUUUAUAAGCCACAUGUUUGGCUGGGCGAUUUAUAUUUGCCCAAAUGAGAAUUUUAUUUAUGACCAUCAACUUGUGUUGCACAUUGCCAUUGAUCUUAAUUAUACACAUACUUAUAGUCCUUUUCUUUCUUGCUUCACAUGUAUGCUCGGGAGCGCGCUUGGGGUUUCAUGGCUCGACUCCAUCUCUGUCCAAGUCAGAGAAGCGACCAAAUAUCCCAUUACACAUUUCUGUCUAGCAGUCUAGUGUCUUUUUCCCUCUCUUCAAGAUUUAUUCUUCUUUUAUACAAACUCAUUAUUAUUUUCGUUUAAUAUUUCGCACAUUAUUAAUUGAAAUCCCAUAUUUUGUAUGUCUAAUUUGAAUUAAUGUCAAUCUUUAAAUGUGAUAGCAUCUUAAUUACUCACUUCUCGGCUCUUAGGUUUUAAAUUUAGCAUUAAUCGCUAGACUUAUGUAUUUAAUUUAAUGUCCUUAAAAGUUUUAAAAUUCGAUAGGUUAAGGCAUGCCCUUUUAGAAUAAUUGGUCGAGUUGUUGGAAUCAUUUAAUGCUUCUUUAACAUAGAAUAGUAUCCUAUCCUUAGAAUCAAGUUAGUUUUCACUAAUUAAUAGUAUCAGAAGAGUUAAAAGAUGUAAAUUUUGCGGUAGACGGACUUAUUAUGAACUCGGACAUCGGCUUUAAUAAUUUUAGAUAUGGUAAAUCAACAUUAUUUUUUUUCAUCAAUUUCAAAUAAAAAUGGUAACUUUGCCAAACCAACUUCGCAAGGUCUUUUUAGAAUUUCAAAUGACAAAAAAAUAUUUUAUUCUGUCGUAUCAUAAUAAAUAAUAAAUUUUCAAGUUAUUAUGCAUUUAAAUAACUAUAUUUUUAGCUAUCUUUAAGAAAAAAAAAUUAUGACGAUGGUUCAUUUAAAGUUUUUUUUAAUGAUUAACAUAUUUAAUUUAAUAAGAUGUAUAUAUAUUUUCGUAAUGCCUUAUGUUUUUCUUAAUAACAUUUGUUUUCCAUAUCUAACCUAAGUUUCACCGGUUAACCGUAGUUAGCGGAUCCUUUAGGGUGCCUAAUCCCUUCUCUUUAGGAUAAUUAGAAUCCUAGUUAAGUAGACCUUAAAAUGAAGUCUUUAAUUGCUUUAAUCACAUAGUUUGUAAUAGGUGUUCUAAUUCACUGUAGAAUUGAUUAGAUGGUGACUUUCUGAUUUUAUUUAGAAGUUUCCAAUAUGUUGUACACUAUUUUUACCUCGGUUAAAAUGGGGUGCGACAUCUUGGCGACUUCACUGGGGAGAUUAGGUUCUUAACCAUAAUAAACUUAGGUUAAUUAUCAUGUUUUUUAUAUUGUUAUUUGUUUUGCCCUAUUUGUCUUGAUUUAUCAUGUUUUUGUGACAUAAAUUAAUCAUUUGCUAUAGAUUGCUUAUUUGUUUAUCGCUUUAUGUAAAUUGACAUUACGUUCAUAUUUCCUCCACUUUAGAAAAUUGACACUCACACACAUUGUACUCGCGGAUUGUACAUUGUACUUUCCCAAAAUUCUUUCAAAUCAACUUACUUUAGAGAGUCGGCACAUACGUGGGGUGAGCGGGAGUUUUACUGUCGUGGGACCACGUGCCUUCUCAUAUAGAAAAUCCAAGUUUACGUCUACACAAAUCUUAGAAGACUUAAGAUAGAGCGUUACAACCCUUGAUUAGUUCAUGCAUGCAUAAACCUUAAGUGGCUUGACCCAUGGUGUCAUUCCACAAAUAGGAGAACACCUUUUAUGUUAAAUGGGUUUCACAACCCAAUGACGACCCUUAUAUUGUGUGCAGAGAUAAUGAUAAAUUGAUCCAAGUCAAAUUUGAUCAAAAUUCAGUUUGGAAAAUUCUAACUCCAAACUCGAAUUAUGUCAUCAAUUAAAGGAGUCACCCACAUAUUAGGAACGCGAUAUUGUUGCUUAAUGUAAUUGUCUACAUGUUAUUUUAUAAUUUAUUUGACUUUACUUGACAACUUACUUGCUACAUAAUCUAUUAAACUUACAUGAAUAGGACUUUAGUUAAUCUCCUUAUUAAAACUAACAUCAUUUCUAUUUUAUUUUUCUCUCUUUUUUAUUUUAUCCCCAAAGAUAGUUGAUUCGUGUUGACAAUCGAACUGACCGACCAUUCUUACUUCAAGAGAUCCAAGGCUUCAACAUUACCACGACGUAGUUGGGCUAUUCGAGGAAGAAGAAUCACCAUGUCACAACCAACCACAUCUAAUCCAAUUGCUACUGGUAGCACUGUGAUUCCAAGGGACCCUUUUGAGACUCUAAAAAAUGAAACUGUUUUUCAACGUAACGAGCAUAUUGCUCGCUUGACUCAAGAGAUUGAGGAUCUGCACAAAGAGUUGAAUCGGGUUAAGGACUUGACCAAUUUUUCCAUUACACUCCAAAGUCCACUUCCUCUAACUCUUUUCUCCUCAGCAUGCUCCACCAAUCGACAACAAUCUACCUCCAACUACAACCGCAAAUCUACCAAAUCAACUACCUAUCUAUACUCUUCCACAAAGUUAACCAGCUACCUACACUACCUAUUCUACUCCUCCUAAUCCAUCACUCGCUCAUAUCCCCCAUGUAUCACCACCAAUUAACACCUAUCCUCUAUCCAAAACUACUCUCACAAACCAACUAAUUCAACCACCUACUAAUACCUCUUAUAAACCCCUACCACCUCUAAUUCAAAAUUAUCCAACCCAGCAUAUACAAGGGGCACAUGUGGCCACUCCUUACACUCAACAUGUUCCUCUUGUAUAUGCAGUAGAAAAUCAAAACUUUACUAAUCCAAUUACGAUUAGGUUCCAACCUGAGGUAGAUUAGUAUGAGGAAAUGGUGAAGGAUUCCAAGUCUAAGGUCAAUGAUGCGUUAGCAAGGGAGAAUGAGAAACCUCCAAAUUAUUAGGGAAACAAAAGCCUGGAGUAUGAGGAUUUGCGUGUGCAGCCUGACAUUGACUUGCCUGAAGGAUAUAAUCCCCCAAAAUUUGAUUUGUUCAAUGGAGUUGGUGAUCCAUAUGCACAUUUAACAGCCUACUGUGAUAAGUUGGUAGGAGUAGGGAGAAACGAAAUGAUUAGAAUGAAAUUGUUUAUAAGGAGUUUGUCUGGUGAAACUCUUGCUUGGUACACAUAACAGGACCUUCGUAAAUGGCAUGGAUGGAAUGAUAUGGCACAGGACUUGAUGGAUUAGUUCAGGUUCAACAUUGAAAUCACACCUGAUAGGUAAAGUUAACUGAGACUUUUUGUGAGUAUGCUCUGCGUUGGAGGGCGGAAGCAGCUAAAGUCCAACCACCGAUGAGUGAAAGUAAAAUGACUGCUGCCUUCAUUGAAUGCCAAGAUAACAGCCUCUACUAUGAGAAAAUAAUAACUAUGAUGGGACAAAAGUUCAUGGAAAACGUCAGAAUGAGGGAAAUCUUGGAAGAUCGGAUCAAAUCAGGAAGAAUCCAAGACUAUACAGCUUUGCAAGCUGCAAGCAAAGCAAUUCAAUAUGGUUCCAUCAAUGGGAACAAAAAAAAGAAAGAAGAUGUAUCUGCCCUCCCGAUUGACCAAGGAUAUAAGUAAAAUCAAAUUCCUCUAUACCCAAAUCAAUCACAUCAGCCUAUUUAUGCUUACCAAUAUGCUGGAACUUCCUAAACACUCUAUCAACUUCCACCAACUCCUUAUCCUGUCUACAAUACCCAAGCAAAUUAGUAUCAACCUCCAACUCCUGCUUACCAAGCUCCACAUGUUGCACCUAAAGCUCGUUCAAGUCCUGAAGUAAAAAACACUCGCAACUACACCAAAAUUGCUGAAUCAUAUGCUCAAUUAUUUGAAAGAUUUAAAAUAGCAAGUGUGCUACCAAUUGAAGCUAAAAUCCCAGAUCCUAUUCCAAAAUAGUUUGAUGGUUCCAAGCGUUGUGUAUAUCAUUCUGGAGUUGUUGGGCACGACACCGAGAAUUGCUACGGCCUUAAAAACAAGAUUGAAGCCUUAAUUAAGAAAGGGGCAAUUCAACUUACUGAACCUCAACCCAAUGUGAACAACAACCCUCUGCCUAACUAUGGGAAUGCUAACGUGAACAUGAUAACUAUUAAGAAAGAUUUCGAUUCGAAAGAAAGCAGUGUACCAAUUAGAAAGGUGGGAAAGGACACAUCAUUGAUCUUUGACGCUCCUAUGAUAACAGUUCGAAAGCCAACGUCAAUGGAGGUUACUACUGCUAGCACUAAGACACCGAUCAUUUGGGGUGACAAACCAGAGAAAACAUUGAAGAAAUGGACUUGCACUCUGUACCUGGUUCGCUAGGGGUCUUGGUAGACUGUACAAGUUGUCACACUUUUGAAAAGCACGAUUUUAAAAACUAAGGCUUGAUCAUGCCUAAGGCUUUAUGUUGUUUUGCCUCAUCUUUUGGAAGCUUAAUUGCAACAUCUAUGAAUGCAUUUCCUAUUUUUCAUUAAUUUUCUAUUACAUUUACUUUCUCUCUUUUUAUAUAAAUUAUCGAAAUUUGUUAAUUUACGACUGUGACAUAAUGAAACAAAUGAACAAAUCUUUGAAGCUUACUAAAAGUUUGAUCAACCAACCAAGAAACAUGACGAACAUGAAAAUAUUCGAGCACAAAGAAUAUUCAUUCAAGAGAAGUGAAGACACAACAUCAUAGGACGACUUUAGAUAGGCUUCUCUUUUAGAUGUAACCCUUAAUUUUUAUGCAAAUUAAGAACUACGUUCUAGCCUGAUUCCCUUGGUGGGAUACAUAGGCAGCCCACAUAGGGUUCGAUUUUACUAUAGCAAAAAAAGAGGGUUCAAAAAUCUCUUAUUUGUAAUAGGAGAACUAUGCCUGACCUAAUUCCCUUGGUGGGAUAUGUAGGCAACCUAUAUUGGGUUCGGUCCCUUUACUUGAAAAAUCCCAUAAUCAUUUUUAUGUAUCUUGAACUAUGUUCUGACCUGAUUCUCUUUACGAGAUACGUAGACAACCUAUAUAAGGUUCGGUCUCACCACAACAUAAAUUUAGUAUACAUUUCUAAAGCCAAGACUGGGACAAAUUUUGAGAAGACAUGAACAAAAAUGAUGGGACAUAGUCAAUGUACAUUUGACUCGGGCUACCAGACAAAGAGCAAACAGAUAAAGAACGUUCAUUUUUUUCAAAAGGGUCGCAGUCUAACAUUGGCAAAGGUUUUAAAAACUAUACAUAUCUUUGCAUAUCCUUCAAAUAUUUUUCUUAAAAAAUCUUUCACUACUUGUUCGUUUACCAAGUCUCGACGGAUAUUACAAGAUCUGAAUGGAGAAGAUGAACUGAGGAUCAACAGGGUCAAGCUUCGAGUCAACACGAAUCAGCAUCCCCCUCCCAACUAAGAAUUUUUCUUUGAGUGCAUGGACAAUAAAGAUACAAAAUGACAACACUAGGUUGAUGUCAAUCUGGGCCAAAAUGUCAUUUGGCUUCUACAAGGAAUUUCUCAUCCAGGAUAAAUGUCGAAAUCAGAAGACGACAUUUAAUCGAUCACAAUCACCACCUACAUCUUAACAUCUCCACUUGUUUUUCUUCUUUACCUUAUUAACUUCCUUUAAUUCACUUUAUUCACCUAACACCUUCACCUUGAAUUUUACAUGAACCAAUAUCAAGUUUUCAAAGACAAAUGGAGUCAUCACUUGACCAUACCUCUCCAUCAUAAGCCACCCGACUUUAUUUCUUAUUCAUUACUUUAUGACUCUAUUCAACAACUUGACUCUAAAGAAAAUCUAGGAUUUACAUCAUUAACAUUAGUCUCCGUAGACAAUCGGAGUUCAUUAACAUUGGUCCCCAUAAACAAUCGGAGACAACAUUCAUUAUCAGGUCUCCGUAGACAAUUGGAGUACAUCAUCAAGUCCCCGUAGACAAUUGGAGCCGUUAUUCAUCAUCAAGUUUCCGCAGACAAUCGGAGACAUCAUUCAUCGUCAAGUCUCUAAAAACAAUCAGGGUUGUCACUCAUCAAGUCCCGUAUACAAUCGAAGACAUCAUUCAUUAUCAGGUCUCCAUAAACAAUUAGAGUACAUCAUCAAGUUUCCGUAGACUAUCGAAGGCGCCAUUCAUCAUCAAGUCCUUGUACACAAUCAGAUGAGUCAUACACCAUUAACUCUCUGAAGACAACCAGAGGUGUCAUUUAUCAUUGAGUCUCUAAAGACAAUCAGAUACUUCAUUACAUCAUCAACAUAAGCCGAGCGGCUACACUCUUACUUUACCCUUUACUUUACCAAUUACUUUAAAUCACCCUACCUACUUUAAUGAUUUUACCUUAAAUCUUACAUAUAUCAUUAGUCAUCAAGACUACCAAAACAACCAAAGACGUCAUUUAUCAUCAAGUCUCCAAAGACAAUUGGAGGCAUUACUUACCAUCAAGUCCCUGAAGACAAUCGGAGACAACAUUCGGCUAUACAGCCACAUCACCUUAUGAGCCACGCAACUUCAUCCUCUUUUUUAUCCUCUUAUAUUUCUUUAAUUUAUAAAUUUAUCUUUGAUUCAAUUGGUAAUUUUACUGCGAGUUUCAUUUCUUGUAGGAAAUAAUUUGCGACAACAGAACAAACAUCACAACGUGGAACUACCUCUUAGCGGAGAACUGAGGCAAGCUAGCAGAAUAUCAAGCAUCCCUAGCAAUGUCGAUGAUUAAGAACUCAACUCGACUCAAUUUUCACAAUAUCUUGUGUAACUCUAAAAUCUAUCCAAAACUAUAAGAAGUCUGAUUCUAGACACGAUCCUACCCACUUCACUCAAGCUAAAUCAUUCUUCUUCUCAUUACCAGUAAGACCAAUGCAAUCAUAAUUUUGUCACUAGGACAAAUUUUGAGUUUCUCUUAAAAUUUUAUUGUAACAUACUUUUGAACUACAUUUACCAGAUUCUCGUGGAACCCGGCAUAUGUAGGCGACUCAAAAACCAGGGUUUGGUCAAAUUCAUAACUACAAUCGUGUCAAUUCUAGCUUCACUGUCCCAUCCUUCAGGCGUAGACUUCCUACAAUUCGUCUAAUUUACCAGUCGAGACAAAAUUAGUUUACGUCAAGGUCUUCGCCCAAAGACUCUUUUCAUCCUCUUUGGUCUAAGAGGGACAAGCUAUUGACACCCAAUUUUGGCUCUCCUUUUUUUCAUAAAAUUAAUUUCUUGAUGCUUAGGAUUCAUGAAAAUUUUGCAAAAUAUAUUUUUUCUUACUUUUAACAUUUAAUAAUUUGAAAAUGAUAUAUUUUUUUCUUCAUAUCUUCGCUAUUAAAAUACUGAUAUCACAUUUUAUAAAUUUGCACGGGGAAAUAUAGAUAAUUGAGUAUAUUUUUAAUUUAUCAUUUUUCAAUAAUUUUUCUAAAAUGAAUAUAUGUUAGCAUAUUAAUAUAAUCCUUACUAUAUUAUCAUCUUUUUCUUACAAAUUUACUCUGAUUCUAUGGACAAUAGGACAUAGAACACAACAUAUAAUGGAUAUACUAACAGAAAAAUGUACAAACAUACAAAUACAAAAACAAUUAAAAAGAAAUGAAAUGAAUUUCUGCAAAUCUGUUUUAUACACAACCCAGAAUUACGAUCAGAAACAGCAUAGAAAAUAUAAGAAGAAACAAAAACCAUAUAGUCGUAAACAAUACUUCUUAAGAAAAUCAAAAGCUAAAAAACCGUGGUUAAACAGAGAUAGACAUGUUAGAAAAUAUAGAAAUAAUAGAAAUUAUAAAAACAAAUUAGAAUGCUAUACUUGUGGAAGCAUCGACCAUUUAGCUAAUGUAUGUCCUAAAAGAAAUAAUAAUAGAACUAGAAAUUCUCAACUAAUAGAGGAUUUCCAAGAAACUUUAUUAAAUGUAGACGAAUACAUGUCAGAUACAGAAAGUAUAUACUCAAUAAUAAGUAUUGAUAUAAAUGAUAAAGAUAAUCCAAAAUCUGAUUCUUCAGAAUCAGAAGAAGAUAACUUAGUUAAUGAGNNNNNNNNNNNNNNNNNNNNNNNNNNNNNNNNNNNNNNNNNNNNNNNNNNNNNNNNNNNNNNNNNNNNNNNNNNNNNNNNNNNNNNNNNNNNNNNNNNNNNNNNNNNNNNNNNNNNNNNNNNNNNNNNNNNNNNNNNNNNNNNNNNNNNNNNNNNNNNNNNNNNNNNNNNNNNNNNNNNNNNNNNNNNNNNNNNNNNNNNNNNNNNNNNNNNNNNNNNNNNNNNNNNNNNNNNNNNNNNNNNNNNNNNNNNNNNNNNNNNNNNNNNNNNNNNNNNNNNNNNNNNNNNNNNNNNNNNNNNNNNNNNNNNNNNNNNNNNNNNNNNNNNNNNNNNNNNNNNNNNNNNNNNNNNNNNNNNNNNNNNNNNNNNNNNNNNNNNNNNNNNNNNNNNNNNNNNNNNNNNNNNNNNNNNNNNNNNNNNNNNNNNNNNNNUUUUUUAAAUACAUGCAAUAAAUUCUAUAACCCAGUUUACAAUGUUAAUAAAAUAUUAGCAAGAGAUUUAAAUAUAAGAUUCGAUUUUGUUAUCGGACUGAGAUUUUGUAUACAGAAUAAAGGAGGAUGUCUCUUAACAAGAGAUGGAAUAAUGCUCUUUAAAAACUUAACUUAUACACCAGUACAAACAGUAACAUUGCCAACAGUAUAUAGAAUACUAAACACAAAUAAAACGAGAUUGCUUCCAGAACCAUGUUGCGACAAUCGUCAAAACAAUCAAUGCCAAAGUAGCAACCUGUCAAAAGAAAACAAAAAUAUAAGAGAAAACCUAGAAGAAAUUAGAAAUUAUACUCUGCUUAAUGCAGAAGGACAAGAAUGCUUAACAGAUAUAGAAAAAGACUAUACCCUAAUAAGUAUAGAAACUCAGUUUUAUAAUUUUAGAAAAGGAAUAGAUAAAAUAGGAAUAAUAAAUAGUCCAAAAGAUUUAGAAAAUAUAAUAUCUAUAUUAGAUAGAAUGGAAAUAAUAGGAGAAAGACCGUUAGCCCAUUGGGACGCUAACGAGAUAAUGUGUAAAUUAGAUAUAAUUAAUUCGGAAUACACUAUAAAAACAGCACCUAUAGAAGCAAAUAAUGAAGAUACUAAAGAGUUUGAUAUACAAAUAAAGGAACUUUUACAAUUAGAAGUAAUAAGAAGAUCUACCUCUAGACAUAGAUCGGCUGCAUUUAUGGUAAGAAAUCAUAGUGAACAAAUAAGAGGCAAAGUUCGUAUGGUAAUUAACUACAAAAGAUUAAAUGAUAACACCAGAACAGAUGCAUAUAAACUACCAGAUAAAAGUGAGUUAAUUAAUCGAAUUCAAAAUAAAAAGGUAUAUAGUAACAAAAUCAUAGUCCGAUUAUUUAAUAGACAUAGAUCUUAUUUGAAAUAUUAUUUGUAUUAUUUAUCUCUGGGACAGUUCUGUCUAAAUUAGUGGGCUGUCCGUCUGGCUGUCCAUUCAUAUGUUUAUCUUUUGGCUGGUUGCUGAAGAAUCUGUCUAAAGUCUGUUUGAUUAUAGUCUCUAUUGUUUCAUUUUUUCUUUUAGAUAUUAAAGUCUUCUUUAAAAUCUUAUUACCUGAUCUUGUUAACUUAUUUUUUGAUGAAGAACAUCCUUCAUCUUCACUUUUUGCCCUUCAUCUUCACUUUUUGGCAAAGUGACAGCCAUUAACGGGUUUGAUUUGUCUUUAUCGGUCACCGUUCUUUAGGAAAUGGAAAGGUAAAACUCCAACCACACAUUGCAAAGAAGGUAUUAGAAAUGCCAGAUAAAUUAGAAAAGACAAAAGAUUUACAAAAAUUUUUAGGAUUAGUAAAUUAUGCAAAAAAUUUUAUUCAAGAUUUAGGAAAAGUAGCAGGACCAUUAUACGCAAAGACAGGUAGUAAAGGGCAGAAAAAUUUCAAUAUAGAAGACAUUAAAUUAAUCCAAAAAAUAAAAGAAAUUUUGUAUUACUACUUAAAGUUAAUUUUCCAAUAAUAGAAAACUUGAAGCUUUUAUUUAAAUCACAAUGAUACAAAGUUUAUACAAGAAAGACUGGCUUGGAUAGGUUUUUUGGGAGGAAGGGUUUACACAUUUCAAGUAGGUUUUUCGGAGCAUUAGUAGAUCCCGGAUGGAGAACUCUGAGUCUGAGUUUGUGUUUUUGCAUCCGUCUUGCUUACAUUUGUCUGCUGGUUGAGUCUCGCUUCUAAUAAUUGUAUCUGCUUUAUUAAUCUAGUGUUUUCCACGAGGAGUGAUUCUUUCUGGGCAUUUAGCUUCUUGAAAUUCUCCGUCAUUGAAAAACAAUGGUUGCAGAAAAUAAUCUUUCCAGUCUCUUUUUGCAAAUUAUACUGAGGUAUUUGAUCUGGAUUUUAUCUGAGUGAAGGAGAUAUAUAGUAAUUUGGUCCUAAAUAUCCUCUAGCAUGAUUGGUGGCUUCGGUAAAAUCAUUAAAACCUUUAAAAAGAGGAGCUUUAAAACCUUGUAUUGAAUCUAACACUUCUAACCAUGUUUGAAAAAUUCCGUUAGUUUUUCCAUGAAUAACUACAUAGUAUUUAAACCUAGGCCUACUCUUUUCUGCCAUGUAAUGGCAUAAAGAGUUCAUGGAUGCCAUAAAAUGAUUACGGUUUUGUUUAUUAUAAGAGAUCCAAAGGUUAUCUACUAAACACCUUUGGGGUCUAUCUAAAAUGUAAUCUGGUCUUAUUCUAAAAGAUAUGUUACUCUCAGGGUAAACAAUUAAAUUAAAUGGUCCGAAGUGAAUUCUUUCACUUAAAAUAGACAUAGAUCUUAUUACACUUUUGGGGAAUUAAUUAGAACAAAAUAAGUAUAGUUGAAUUAGUUAAGUGAAAUCAAUUUUGAAAAUUAGAUUAAUUAAAUUAUCCGAUAAGGUCUUAACUUAGUUUUAGCCCUUAAAAGCUAAUCAAGACCAGCCCAAAGACCUUUUUUAACCGAGCCCAAUCUAUUAUGCCCCAAACCCGGCCUAAAUAUCCUAUUAGCCUAAUGAGCCCAAGGACCGCCUCUUUGUCUCCAAUGUUGAACAUCAACUAAGAACCCAACCAGACUAGCCUAAUCACACUCUUCCAUGUCUGCAAUCCAUUCAACCCUCAAAACCAUCGAACAAAUAGCAAAACCCAUUGAUUUGAUAUCUCUUGUCAUCUGCUCUCUCUGUUUUUGGUAUCAAUCAAUAUCACCUGCCCUCCCAUCACCUUUUGUUGAAGAAAAUGCUCUGUAAUUCCAUCAAAAGAUGGAAAAAUUCAAAGACCCAUCAGUUUCAAUGUGUUUUUCCUUUGAUUCGAUGGCUGCCCAGCUUAAAUCGAUGGGUCCAAAGAGCCUUUCCUAAGAAUUCAAAUUUGAAUUAUUGGGUACCUGAGAACCGUUGCAAUCCUCUCAAAUUUGGCUAUAAAUGAGCUAUUUAGCUCCUAUUUUGAUCAGCAAUUAAGGAAUCAUCAAGAAUCAUCAACAAUUAUUGCUAGUUAGUUGCUAAAUAUCAAGAAACUCAUAAUUUUCCUUAUUAUUUUUCUCGCUCCCUUUCCGAGUCCAAAUUCUUAGUUCAAUUCUUCAAUGAGGAAAAACUAUUUCGCUGCUCCAUAAAAGGUAAUCACAUUCACCUUUUAUUUCGGUUUGGUUCCUAGAAAUAAAAUGUAGUCGUUUAAUAUUCUUUUUCCUUUGUCGAAAUUCUACCUAUUUGGAUGUGUUGGUUUUUCAUUGUUUCCUGUAGUUUCAAUCUGUAAAAUAAAAUGGUUAACGAUAACUGAUAACAUUUAUAGAAACUAUUGGUGAAUAAGCUUGUCAUUCACAUCGUUAUGUUCUGAAGUUCGUCGAAACCUGUUAUGCCGUUCUUGUUCUAAAAUCUCUGUCAAGAGGUUUUAAAAAAUGAACUUGAAUGUUUAGGUAGAUAGGAUUACUUUGCUACGCAUUAAGGAUCUGUGUGUGAAUGAAAGGUUCAUUUACUGGCUACCCAUCUCUUGUCUCAAAUUUGACACAUCUGAAAAUUAGUUUAUAUUUAGUUUAUUUGAAAGUCAUUACUGGACGAUUUCUUUAACCCAAAAUCGACAAAGUAUCAGUUCUGAAUUUAGCUAUGUCGAAAAGGUGAAGUUGAAAGUCUAAAUUUGAUUGCGAUGUUCUGUUUCAAAUUUCUCGAAUUGACUAAGACACAUUUUUGGACAAUCUGCAGCCCUCAUUUUAGCUUAGCAGGUACAUAGAAUUUGGUGAAACCGAGGUUUUUUACUUGUUUUUAUUUGUUAAUAGGUAUAUAUAAGUAGAACCAAAAGUGUUAACUCGAUAAUCUCUUCUUCUCCUCAUGAUUACAAAUAAUAAAUUGUGUGCAGUAGGUUUCUUCCUAUGAUUGCUACUAUGUACUUAAAUAGUUUACCGUCUGAAUUGAGUGUGUUGUCCCUCAUAACCAUGAGGCUUACGAAGUGAGAAAUUGGGAAUCUUUUUUAUAGUAAACUAAAAACUGUGUGAGAUCUUGAACUGUAUGUGCUAUCUGGUGAUUUGAUUUUAGUUUGGUAAUCUGCAUUGUCAUCAGGACUAAUAUCAAAUUUAGAACACAUUUGUGUUUCAGCUUACCUUAAUGAUUCUUAGUGAUUUUGUACUUGCAGUAAACAAUGUUUUUGAUCUAUUAAUCAUGUUUUAAGAUCAUGUGUUGAUGCCUAACAUCUCUUUUUGGAAUAUAACUUAUUAUUUCCAUCUUUAUAGUAUAUAAAACAUGCUCAUAGAGGUUUGUUUAGAAGAUCGUUAUCCAUACUGUUUGGAUGUUAAUUAAUCUUUAGUUACAUACUUGAACCAUGUUUCCAGAUUUUCAUCAGUCUCCCACGUAAAGGUGUUCUUUUUAGACUUUGUGGUUAAUGGGUUUGUUUCAAAAUUUCCCUUUGUUCUUGCCUAUAGUAAUUAGAUAUGAGUAUAUUUUAGCUUCGCGAUUAGUCACCUUAGGACACGUCAAAUCCCUGACCUCGGCCAAAAUGGUGGCCAGUUUAAGCAACAUUUGGCUUUAGUUGAGUUUGCAUAUAACAACAGCUAACAUUCCAGUGUUGGCAUGGAUCCUUUCGAGGCAUUGUAUUGUAGGCAUUAUCACUCCUCAAUGGGUUGGUUUGAUGUUUCAAAGGUAAGACCUCAAGGUACGAACUUGCUUCGUGAGACUUUGGAUAGAGUUCGGGUCAUUCAGAAUAGAUUAAGAGCGGCUCAAAGUAGGCAGAAAUGUUAUGCUGAUCGUAGACUUCAUUCCUUAAGAUUUGGUGUUGGUGGUCGUAUUUUCCUUCUAGUUUCACCCAUGAAGGGUGCGAUGAGGUUUGGUAAAAGGGGCAAGCUUAGCCCCAGGUAUAUUGGUCCAUUUGUGAUUCUUCAGAUUGUUGAUGAUGUGGCUUAUGAGUUGGCAUUGUCCUAUGAUCUAUCAGCUGUUCAUCCAGUUUUUCAUAUUUUUAUGCUUCGCCACUCAGGAUAUUAGGCAGUUAUACUCUAGAGUGAUCCCUGUGGCUAAGGUCUAGUGGCGACAUCAACCUAUAAAUGAGUUCACUUGGGAAGUUGAGUCUGAUAUCUGUAGUUCUUAUCCCCAGCUCUUCAUUGAUUCAGGUAUUUCUUUUCUUGGUUCGAGGAUGAACUAGAUUUUUAGUGGUGGAUAGUGUAACGACCAUUUUUUUGAUGAAAUAUGUGAAUUGGGUGUUUCUGUGUGAUUUGACUAUUUUACCCCUCUUCUUAGUUGCAUUAUGGUAUUUUUGGGGUGUGGGGGUGAUUGGCAUGGUUCCCGAUGUAUUUUGGGAUCAUAUAUGCGAUAUUAUGGUUUUUAAUAGCUUCGAGAGCCUUAUUUUGAACUUCUGUGGAUAUCCUUUGAUCCGUGUGUUGGAUGGCUGAAUGGAAUGCGCCAGAAGCUUUGGAAUAUUGAUUUAAGGCUAGGUAGACCUUUGGUUCGGGUCCCAGUGUACUAGAGCUUAUUUCGACCUAUGUCAAAAAUUUGAAAAUAGGAAAUAUGGGUGUGGGACUCAUAUUUGAUCGAAACGACAUCGGAUGGAAAAUUUGACUUCGCCAGCAGAUUUGAAUUGUUGAUUUUAAUGUGGUAACAUCUUGUGUGAUUUUAUGGCUUUUAAAUCUCAUUUUGAUCCUUGGUUUGAAAAAUUGUGAUUUCAGGUUUCUGGGGUCAACUUUGUGAAAAUGAUAUUUUUUUUAAUUCAACUUUGCCAACACAUCAGGAAUUUCAAAUUUAGUGUGGUUGCAUAGUUCAUUUGCAUAUAUCGGACUCCAAAGGAAUACCGGGCACCUCGUCGAAGUUCAGGUGGGACUAAAAGAAAAAUCUGGUGCAAAUCUGUUAUAAAAAUCAGCUUUUUUAUUCUUUUUGGCCCAUUGUGUCCAUUCUUUCACCUUGUCUCUUGAGAGUUAAACCCUAAAAUAGCAUGAGAGCUUAAAAGUGAAGCCUGUGUGUCACUCCCCGAGACUACCCCAUGGACGUCACAUGGUGCUUAGAACCACAAGUGAUCCUAAGCUAACCCUAUAUUGGCAUGAUGUUUGAGCUACUGAUUAAAAUACACAAAACUGGAAGUAACAUGCGGAAGAGAAAUCUUUAGCUGAACAUGCUCAAAACAAAACUAUUUAAUAUGAUUACAACUCUGGUCAUACAAAAUAAAACUGAAAUCAAAUACAACAACUCUACUGACUGUCUAUGAAGCCCCUACUAAUACUGACUAUGGGUAGUCGAGACACGACCUCCCAGCUAUCCCUAAUCAACAUGACUGAAUAAAAGAAUGAUACAUAAACUAUAGUUGACUCGAGCCCUCGAAUCAAAAGAACUCUUCACCUGCUAACUGGAAGCUGCGAACUGUCUGAUUAUGAUGUACUAUAUAUGGUACCUAUAUUAUGAGACAAUGUAGCACAUAAACAUAUAUGUGGGUCAGUACUUUUGGAAUGUACUGAGUAUGCGGGGUGAAUGCAUAAGUAAAACAAUAACUUACUCAUAUAAACUUUCAAAUGAUGCAUGCUAAGUGUAAAUGACUCACCUUGAGCUUGAAUAAAACAAAGACUGCAAAAUCAUAAAAUGAGUAAUGAAGCAUAAGGAUAAGCUUUGUGAGUCAUAACACUUAGUUCUAAAAGCUUUACUUUAUUCUUUCUUAGGGAGGUUCUUCUAACCGAUAUAAACUAUGUAAGCUGUCAUGGAGUCCAACGUCUUACCCUCAUUGGGGAGAGUUGUUCUACCCUUGACAUCGGAAUAGAACCUUAACUUAAGUGAUCACUAUACUUAACUCAUAUUAGGAUUUAAACCAAUGGUGGCACGUAGUUCUGGGGCAUGUGACUUGGGAUUCAUACCCAACUCGGUGCUAAAUACUACUCUCAUAUUACUUAGAUGCUCAUACUUUAGGAAAUCCACUUUAAAAUAGCAUAAGGGUUUAUAAAAUGGAAACCAGUUAUGCAUCUUAUUCUUUAAAUCAUAAUCAGGAUGAACAAAUGUGGAUUUCAUAUCUUAUCUUAAGAUCAAAAGAUUAAUCUUUGCUUUAAAUCAUGAUAUAAAACUUAUCAAUGGAACUUAAGAGCAUAAUCGUUUUGUAAACUCAAUACUUGUACUUAGAACUUAUAAUAUAUGCUUAAAUUCUUAGAAAUUCAUGAUAAGACUUCAUGCUCAAUAAUCAUCUUGGAAUCUUUCAACAAUCUCAGUCAAAAUAAUGAAACUAAAAUUACAAUAUGAAUCUUAUAAGUUAAACAUGGACAUAAGCAAUUCUUGAUAUACUUAAAGCUUUCAAUCACCUGUUAAUAACAUACUUCAAGAAUCUAAUAAUUUGGGUAUGAACCCUAAUUCAAAAAUAAGUAAAUUAAAUCUUUAGACUAUGCACUUUGGGCACACGGGUGAAAGAGUACCCUUGUGUAAUUCCUCGUAUUUCCUCGGCUUAAGAUUAACCCUCAGUUCAUGAGUUAUCCAACAUAAAAAUUUUGAAAUACUCAUUAUUUUUCAGUUUAGAGCCUUUACAUUGCAUGGGAAAUUCAAUUAGCUUUCCAAUGAUAUAAAAUUUGUCCAAAUCCGCUAAUCGUGUAAGAAGUUAUGGAGAUUCUAAGCUCCAGUCGUUAAACACCGUCAUUUUGAUCAAUAACGCGUUGCGGAGCCAGUCUAAAUGAUAAUUUUCAAUUUCCAGUGUGACUCCACGAUCUCACCGCAUCGCAGAGGGCUUCUAAUUCCCAAUUUUCCAAUUCCAGUAAGGGACCGCGAUAUUGGCAUAUCGCGUCAAGGACCCAGUUCACAUUUGUUAAUUUCCAGUAAAGCAACGUGAUUGUACCGCAUCACACCAAGCUUCUUGGUCUCAUCCAAGGUGGCAACGCGAUACCACCGUGUUGCAUCACCAUGCAUUUUCCUAGUUGGAAAUUUCCAAAGACACGGAGCGAUAGCGCUGCGUCACAUUAAGGGUGAAAAUCGGGACAUUUCAGUUAAUUUUGAGAUUUAUUUUCCAAGCGCUUUUAGGUAUUUUUCCCUAAUUCCAAUCAUCCUAAAUACGGGGUUAAAGCCGUACAUAGCCUAUUAACCCAUUAUUUUGCUCACUUAUCUCAAGAAAUAAAAGCCUUCUCUCAAAACUACAAACCCUAGCUUCAAGAAUCAAGGUCAAAACUCAAGAAUUUCUUCAAUCACCUUCAAGAACUAAUAACCCAAGGUAUGUUAGGUGUUCAUCUAUGGGUUCUUUUCACCCAUAGAGUCACAAAUCCAUUUUCAAAAUACAAGAUUAUUGAAUUAUGAACUUCCAUGCUUGAAUUGAAUUGAAAUUCAUGUUUAUGUUAUUGUUGGUUUUAGUCCAUGAUUAAAUUACAUGCUUUAAUGAAAUAAAUCAUUGUAUGUGUUGAAUUACACGAUCUUCAUGAUAAACCCUUCAAUUUUCAAGUUGAUUGAUGUAGCCAUGAUAACUAUAUGUUUUGAUUAUUGUAUAACCUAAGUAUACUCCCCGUGUGUUUGAUAAAAUACCUAUGUGAAUGAAAUAGUUUCAUUAUAAUAUGAUAGCAUGUAUUCCCCAUUCAUGUAUAAGUAGAUGUAUUACAAGUGUUUGAUUAAAUGCCUCUACGAGUGAACUAUGGACAAGUAUACAUUGUUAUGAUUUUCAAGAGUAUAUUAUGCUUUAUUUUUUAUGCUAUCAAGUCCUGGGGUAUUUAAUACUCGAUUAUUUAGCUGUAUUCCUAGAGCCAGUGUCAGUUACAGAAUCUCAGUCAUGUCAUGAUCAGUAGUACUCUCAGUCAGUUACAGAACUCAGUAGAACUCAGUCAGUUAUCGAACUCAGGAAAACUCAGUAAGCUCAGUAUCAGUCCAGUUUAGUUCAGUAUACUCAGUUCAGUGUCUUUUAGUUAGGAGUAGGAUUCAGCACCGAGUGAACCCAAAGACGGGGGUUCACCUGCCAGUAGAGGGUGUGGACUCUAUAAGCAAUCCUUGCGUUCCAAAAUUACGUAGCCAACGUAGGUUGAGAAAUCAAACUUGCCAUUUGAGGAUAGAUGAGGUGUUUUAGGAACCCCAUGAUGAGGUGUUUUAGGAACCCCAUUCUCAUUAGAGUACCUGCCAGAUGAGGGUUCCACCAUUCUCAUUAGAGUACCUGCCAGAUGAGGGUAACUCUUCAGUAUUUUUACCUGUGGCACGGUACUGACACCCUUCCAACUAGGGUCACAGGUUGGACCCCAACUCAAUUGUCUUAUUUGGGGCAUGUCAGUUAUAUGAUUACCUCCCACAGUCUCAGUCUCUAGAACUCAGUUCAGCUCUACAGAAUCAGGACUGUCAAAUACAGUCAACUAGUAUCAGUAAAUCAGUUAUCAGUAACUGAUAAUAACUUCAGAUAUCAGUUAUUCAGUUUCAGAAUUCAAGACUUAGCUUCAGAAAAGCAUAGUCACAGUAUUUAUUUAUAUGCACAUUAUUACAUACUUAGUAUUUACAGUAGUAUCAAUUAUCCAUGUACUCUCAUGUUCAGUUACUCUAUAUCAUUCAGUUAAUUAUUGUUCAUGCAUAUGAACCCUUGCAUUCAGCUUUACCUCAUCUAGCAUACCAUUACAUUCUACGUACUGACGGAUACUCUUUCUUUGCGUUAUGAUGUCUCAUAUCAUAGGUUCGAACACUCAGGUUUUCGACUGUCCAUAGAUAGACUCAGAUUCAGCUAGCAGCAGUAGAUUAGCAGCGAGUCCUCAUCAUUCAAGGAUAUUCUUUAUUUUAUUAUUUCAGUAGAUAGAGUUAGUUGGGGGAUUGUCCUAUCAACUCCACUUUCAGGCAGUUUCAGUUAGAGGCUUUUCAUACUAGUUUUCAGACAGUGUUCAGUUUUACAGAUUAUUAUUUCGGGCGAUAUAAUUUAUCAGUAUUUCAGAUGUCUUGAGCUUUAUGGCAUUUUAGCCUAUUAUUCCGUAUUUAUUACAGUAUCAUGUUUCAGUGCUCAAAGUAGAUAUCAGUCAUAGGUUAGCUUGUGGUCCUUCAGGGUCGUAAGUACCGUGUAACGUCUGUGGUACAGACUCGGGACGUUACACCUUGUUCAUAACCCCACAUACCUUAAGCUUUUAACUUGAGAGGAAAACAUAAUUCUUGAUGCUUUCUUGAAGGUUCUUGAACGUAGAAAAUUUGUAUUCUUGAUUCCUUGGGGAAAAAGAAAUUGAAUUAGUUCUUGGGGAAAGGGGAGGGUUUUCUUAAGAGGGAUUUAGAGAAGAAGGGCCAAUAAUAACCUAAAGAUGCCCAAAAUCAUGUUAGGGACGAUUGGAUUUAGGGGGAAAAGGCCUGAUUUUCCCUUAAUUAUUUAAAUAAAUAAAUCAAGAACUAGAUGCAACACCGUCACCGCGACGCGGUCAGCAUGUGAUCGAGACUAAUGCUGUGUUGCGGGCCUAUCGCGAUGACCCACUAGUUCCAUGAUCCAACCAUGCCCCAAACCUUGUCCAAAAAAUCUGAAACUCCCCUUAAGCAUGCUUCUUACAUCCCUGAAUAUGAAUUAACUCAAAAAGUAACAUCUCAGGGAUGAAAAGGUCAAAUAAAAAUCCUCAAAGUUUAUGGAUCUUGAAGAUGACUAAGUCUAAGUCCCCAACGCUUAGUGAAAAUUUCAAGCAUUAAGCCCCUUAGGCAUGCAAUUAAGAGCUGAAUCCAGCUAGAAUUAGUAUGGGGUAUUACACUGUGGGAGCUUGAGAAUCUAGAUUAACAUCUAUUUCUUGAUUCUAUUACUGAUUUAAGGUAAGAAUUCACCCAUUUUCUUAGUAAUUUCUUUUCUAAUUUCUCAAAAUUCUAAUAAUCUUAGGGCUUGAUUUUAAACCCCAAUUUCACUCAUUUUCAAUUGAUUAAUAUUUUGAUCUUAUAAUUACUGGUUUUUUUAUCAAUUUAAACUUCAAAAUAACUUUGAUUCUUGAUUUUAACUCGGUUUUCAAAGAUUUUACCCGAUAAAGCUUUAAAAUAGCUUUUCUUUAAUUUGAACCUCAUUUUUUUUACUCGAUUUGACUUGGGUUUUCAGCCGUAGGUUCCUAAAAAUAUGGUAAAUAUAUUUUUGAAGUAAAUUUAUGAUUUUUUUUCCUUCUUUUUUAUGGGCUUUCUACUUAUAUGUGUGUAUAAUGCAUAUAUGUAUUCUAUCUUGGUGUGAUAUUGCAAUGUAUGUGAUAUAUUAGAAUUGUUAGUGCAAGCGGUAUGGGCUACCAUUGUGGGAUAUUUUCUGAUUGCAAGUGACGUGCCCUUAGUGUAUAUUUUGUAUGCUUUAUUUUCUACUUUGCUCAGUCGGCCUAUGAUACCUACUGAGUACAAAUGGACCGUACUCACUCCUACUUCACCCUUUCGGUAUAGCUUUAGGUUUUGGUGCGGCUUAGACUAGUUGAUUUUUGGGCGUCUUUAGAUUACUCAAGGUAGCGGUUGGACAUUCAUACGUUCGAAGUUCACCUCAAUCUUUCUGUAUUAUGUAUGUCUUUGUUAGUAUUCAGAAACAAAUAUUGUUCCUUUAUGGUUAUUUUUCUGAUGUAUUUGACUCCUGGAUUAUAUUAGUAGUUCUUACACUAUUGACACCUGGUUUUGUGCUUGAUUAGUAUUUGGAAUAAGUUUUUUCUGCAUUGUUAUGAUUACUUUAUGGUUAGGCUUCAUUCUAGAAGCAUUACCUUGGGUAUUUUUGUCUUUUUUUUCCUUUUUUGUAUCAGUUUGGGUGAUAGCCUUACUUGUCAAGGUAUGCCGCGACAAGUGCCAUCAUGACCCUAUUUUUGGAUCGUGACCAAGUUGUUAUAUGUUUAGAAAUUAAUUUGGUAAAUAUGUAUUUAUGGAGAAAUAGUUUUUAACUUGCAAAAGAUAAUUUACUAUUUCUACUACUAUUUAAAAACACUUUUACUUUUUUGACCAAACACCUAAAAAAAUAUUUAUAUAUAUACUAGUUUAGGCUGCAUUUGUUUUUUUUUAAGAUUCAGACGUCUAAAUCUGAAUGCAUGUCUGAAUGAUUAAGAUGUUGUCUCUAGAUCUGAAAACUGAAUGAUUAAGACUGUUUGUUUUUCAAUAUCUGAAUGUACAAAAAAAAAUUAUUUGUAUAUAUAAUAGAAUAAAAAAUACAAUUCAAAUAAAAAACUAAUUAUAUAUCAGAAAAGUAUAUAAUUUAAUACGACAAAAUUAUUAUUUGAUUGAAAAAAAAUAUAUUUAUGUUUGUUAGUGAUAUAUUUAUGUUUGUUUGAUAGUGGUAGUUAGCGGUGAUGCUAGUUGUGAUAAAUGAGUUGGUCAAUAGUAGGGAUGUGGUGGUUGAUGAUGGUGGUGGUGUUGACGGCGGUGGUGGCGUUAAAUAUAAUUAAAAUAAUAGAGGUAGUAGAUGUGGUAGCGGUUGACAAUAGUGGUUGGUAGCAAUAUUUGUUAUCAAUGGUGGUUGUGAUUGUGGAGGUGGUUGGUGGUGGUGGGUGGUGGUUGACAAUGAUGGCGGUAGCAGAGGUGGUGCUUGAUGAUUAUGAAUACAGUGGCGGUGAAUAUUAUCCAACACCAGAAUACCUCUUCAGACCUAUUAAGACUUGAUUCUAUGUUUGAAUGAUUGAGACCCAUUCAGACCUAUUAAGAGCUAAAAUCUUAAUAAAAUACAAAUGCACUUAAUGGUCUGAAGUCUGAACCAUUCAAAUUCAGAUCUCCGUUAACUGCAAACAAAUGAGCCCUUAGAGUACGUGUGUUGCACGUGUAUUAAAUGCUAAAGAAGAAGUUUGCAUGUGUUUGUUUGUCCAAUGUUUAAAUAUAGUGACAGUAAUAUGAAAGAUUUAUAAUUAUAUUAAAUAGUUUAAAUUAUAUUUGUAAGGACCUUCACACUUUUACGAAGAGAAAGUAGUUAUAAGAGACUGGAAAGAUAGCUUUAUCAUGCCUUAUUGUAUGAACUUCCUGCAUCAUAGCAAAAGCCAAAGGUCCACUUUAUUGAUUGGGUUGGUGCUAUUAACAUGGAAUAUAAUAAGGAUUAUUGAAAUAGAAAUAGAUUAAAUUGUCCUCCAAUCUUGUAUUAAGGAAGUAUUCAAAAUUCCAUAACUUCUAUUAUCAAGGUCAUACAAAAUGUCCUUCAAGAUGCAAAUUGGGUCAUUCUUAACUGUUACAGGGAGACAUAUCAAGUUGCAGAUAAGCUCGCUAUACUAAGCUAUAUUUUGAAUAUUGACUGCGUCUACACCUCUAUUGACAAUAUUCUAAGGGAAGCUAGAGAACCUUCGCAAAUGGAUGAAAGGAAGAUUCCUAAAUUUUAUUAGUUAAAAUUUGGAGUAUCUCCUGUUACAAUUAAUUAUUUUCUUAAGCUAAUCUUACAAUCAAGAGUUUUAUUAGGAGCUUAGAUUUGCAAUUAUUGAAAAUAUUCUCUUUACUUUCACAAAUUAGGGUAAGUCUGUGCAUACACCACCCUUUCUAAACUUCAUUAGUAAAACUAAAUUGAAUAUAUUGUUGUACAUAUUAUUAUUUAUUUGUUGUCAUUUAAUCCCCUCAAAUAUACCUUAAUUUGCAGAUAAAACCAUAAACAAAUAAAGAGUUGUUUUUUAAAUUAGGAGUAUCAAAUUAAUAGUUUCGUCUAAUUAGGACAUUUACAAUCCUUUGUUAACUCUAAAAUCUAAACAUAGAAACUUGUUUGUUAUAUUUAUUAGUGUGAAAAGGAAUUCUAAGUACUUCUAACAUAUAUUAGUCUCGUGGUUUUGUCUAGCUAAACCAAUUAACUAUUAAUCAACUGUAUCGCCCCCAACGUUAAUUCUCGGAAAAAAAAUUAUUGAUAUUUUCAUCUUUUCUUUUAUCAUAUAUUUUAGUACUUUUUGUUUACAUAUAUAGGAAAAAGAAAAACUACCAAUAAUAGUUCUCAUUAUAUUUUCCUCUUAAUUAUCAAUAUAUUUUAGGACUUUUAGGACUCCUUAAUUUUUCAAAAUUAUAGUAAGGAUUUAAUUAAUUAAUGACACUUUUAGGAUAAAAUAUACUUCAAUUAUUUAGUUCAAUAUAUUUUUAAGAAAAGUCUAAUCAAUCAGUAAAUAAUCGGGAUCCCUCCACACUUAAUAGAGAAUUAACGAAAGACAACAUAAACUAUCAAAAAGAUGAUAGAUCUCUUACAUGUAUUUACCAUGUACAAGAGCUAGAGAAAGGUUUGUAUAUGAUGAUUAAUACAAAGAAUACGAAAUAAAGCAAGUGACUAUGAUGAAGAAACUGCAGAUAAAUAGUGAAGGUAGCAAUGGGACAUUCAAAAGUCUACUCAUUCACCUAGUAUCCAGCAAGUGUUAUUAUACUAUUGGCAAAUACUAUAGUUAAAUUCCCGCUUAUGUUGAAAGUAGUUGGCCAUUAUAGGUUCAUUUAGAAAGCCUCGAAAACAUGACUCGAGAUAGAAGGUCUGCAUGUUUGAAGAGACAAAGAUGUUAUUAUUGUUAAACAUGAUUAGUAAUGUUGUUGCAUUUAAAGUCAUUAGUUCUAUAUAUGCACGAAUUACCACCCAGUACUUCAGCAGCCAUAAAUAAUGUGAUUGAGCUGAACCGACAUAGUGUGGCGCCAGAAUAAGGGAUUACGACAUGAAAACUCAUAACUAUUCCCUAGCAUAUCAAGAUUUCUGGGGUUGGCAAAAUCAUAACCAAAAGUCACUCUAAAAAUAAUGCUUUUAUCAUAACAGAAAUCACUUUCGAAGACUAUAUAUAUUCAAGUCAAAAUCACAUAAAUUAGUCAUUUAUGUGUUGUAUCUCAAAAUCAUACAAUCACAAAUCAAUCAUAAUCAACACUCAAACUUAAAAUCAAUAACAACAAUAAUCACAUAUUUAGUGUAAUUCCACAAUUAGUGAGAUCUGAAAAGGGUUAUAUGCAAAUUUUAUCCGUAACUUUGCAGAAUAUAAAGAUGAUUUUCAAUGACCCUCGACUCGAGAAAACAUGAUAUAAAGCAAAAGGGUCAUUAAUGAUGAUGUCACGGUAAUUAAGAUUUCUGUGGAUAACAAAAAUCAAGAAAAACUAAUUAUGGUAUUAAACUUCCUCUCAAUUUUACAAAGACCCAAAAAAGUUAACUAUGAUGCGAUACUUGCUCUCAAUUUAACAAAAACCUUUAAAGAUUAAUUCUGUUACGAAAAUUGUAAUUGUAAAGUAUACCAUCCUUAAACCUUCAUAGUAAUCUGAUUAUAAUGUGAAUUGAGGUUGAUUUAUGUAGGAUUCACUUUAAAUAUUCUUCUUUCUUUCUGGAAUUUGAUGUGCAGCCAAAGGAAAAAAAAUCAAGUAUGUUGAUAACUUACACAAUUACAUUACUAAAAUUCAACUCAAUCCUAAAUUUGUAAAUAUUAAAAGUUUUUACGUAAUUAUUCAAAUAGAGAAAGAUAUUAUAACAAAAAUACACGAAAUACACUCGAAAAAAUAAAAGAAAAACUAUGGUAAAGUAGGAGAUAACACCUGAAAGUUGCAAUGAAACAAAACUGAAAAUCAUCUAUCAAAAGGCUGAUAAUAUCAUAAUUUUGGCACAGCAUCAAUCACAAAUACACAAGAUAAAUAAUAUAACACAAAAAAAAAUUCAAAAUGAUUGAAACAAAAACUACACAUAAAACAUCACAAGAGGAUAUCAAGAAAGCAAAAAACAAAUCUAAAUCUAACACAAAGCCCAAAAAUUAUUCAAUAGAGCUUCAAAUCACAUUAUCAAGCUAAGUAAAUUGUUAAUAGGGGAUGUAUUAAUUAGAAUAAGCAAAAAGGGGCAAGACAAUACGAAUAAAAUUUAGUUAAUAUGAGUAUUUGAGGAUGUAUGAAUCAGAGGUAGAGGACAGUUCAUAACAGUUUCUAACUUUCAAUAUUUAGCAAAUAACUUAUUCAAAACAAUAAUUACCCGAGAUAAAAUUAUAAAUUAUAAUUUUACAAAAGCUCAACCUAAUUGGCUUGAUUUCAUUGGUAAUAAAAUUAUAGCUUUCUGAACUUGCUGAAAUUAUAGAUGGGUUUUUGUCUUCUUACAGUUACCCGAUAAACAUGCAUGGAAGGUAUUGUAUUAUGGUAUAACGUAGAAAUUGCAAAGAGUUUGCAACUGAAGACGUUUAAGGUUGAACAAAUUUCUUUUGCUAUGAAAAAUAAUAAAUAUACUUCAAGCAUUAAGUUAUCUGCAAUUCCUUGUUUACGUGGAUUCUAAAACUUCCCAUUCGUAAAUAUAAUUUUUUACUUCAAAUAUUAAUUUAGGGCUUUCUAAUGGUUUAAAUAAAGAAUGAAUGAAAUCAGAAUUUAGUUGAUUUAGAAUUAUUAAGCUAAUAGAAAAAAUAUUAGUUAUCAUUAAUUCAUAUGACUUCUAAUAAGAAAAGAUUUAAUCAUAAAUAUAUUUAAUUAAUUUUCAACUCUUAAAUAUUAAGAAAAAAUAGUGAAAAGACAAUUUUGUCUAAAACAAAGACUUGGGUAAAAAGUUCAAACAACAUUUCUAAGACCCUUCACACAUUUAAUAUUACUAGUUUAGGUGUUCGCGCCUUGUGUGUGUACCUCACUUUAAUGAGUUCAACCAUUACACUAAAUAGGAUGUUUGUUUAAAUAAUAAAGAUGAAUAUAAUAAUUAAAUUUAAUAUCUUUUGAAUAUGUAAAGAUGGAGAAUUUAUUUAUUAAACGUAACUUUUACCAAAAAUAUUUUUAAAAGUCGAUCGACAUACAUUUACCAUCUGUAAAUUGAAACAAAAUAAUACAAUAAUACAGACAUCAUUAUAAUAUAAUUAAAUCUAAUCUUUACAUACAAAAAAAUUCUCAAAAUCGUCCGAUACUCAUCUACCACCUGUAAACAAUAACAAAAUAAUACGAUAAUAGAGAUAUCAAAAUAUUACAACUAAAUCUAACAUUUACAUAGAAAAAUUCCUCAAAGCCAAUCAACAUUUAUCUAUCACCUGUAAACUGCAACAAAAUAAUACAAUAAAAGUGAUAUCAAAACAAUACAAUUAAACUUAAAUUUUACACAAAAAUUUCUCAAAGGUGAUCGAGAUUCAUCUACGAACUGUAAACUACCACAAAAUAACAAACUAAAUUAAAAUAAAAUAAUAAGAUAAUAAAGAUAUCAAAACAGUACAAUUAAACCUAACCUUUACACAAAAAAAGUCUUUAAAGCCAACCGAUAUUUAUCUACGACCUGUAAACUAUAAAAAAUAAUAUAAUAGUGAUCACAAAGCUUCGAUUUUGAUCCAACUAAUUUUUGUCUGAGCGAAAAUUUUGACCCUAAAGAAUGAUUUUAAAUGAAAACAAAGAAGAUAUAUAUAUAUAUAUAUAUAUACACACACACACACAUGUUGAAUUCUAUUAUGCUGGAAAAAAAACAGUAAAGAAGUUGAGGGUUAGAAAAUCAAACUUCCGUCAAUCUAGACAUGCAAUCGAAUCAAGUUAGAUGAGCAUUAAUCAUAUUCUCCCAAUAGGCAAACCAAUUUGUUCACUAGUUUAAUAUACUUUUCAAUAUUUAUAGAAGUAUUUCCUUAAUAGAUUCCUAUUUUAGGAGUAUUUUUCUAAUUGAAUAAUAGAAAGAAAAAUAUUAAUUAAUUCUACUACCAUAUAUUUUAGGANNNNNNNNNNNNNNNNNNNNNNNNNNNNNNNNNNNNNNNNNNNNNNNNNNNNNNNNNNNNNNNNNNNNNNNNNNNNNNNNNNNNNNNNNNNNNNNNNNNNNNNNNNNNNNNNNNNNNNNNNNNNUAAUUUUGUCUAAAAAGGGGGAUUUUUAUUAAAGGACAAAAAUUUAAAAGCACUUUUUAAGGAUCUUCACAUGUUUAAUAUAUUAUAUAUUAUAUAUUAUAUAUUUAUAUAUAAAAAAAAGAAUUAACUUCAUCUCCUUCGAGUUGGUCAGGGGGUAACAACCUAGCUAUUCCGUGUAAGCUGAGAAAGAUAGUUAAUUAUGUGUCUCAACUUCAAGCUAGCCCCGAGAAAAGCACUCCAUUCGUAAGAAAAACAAAAGGAGCUGCAAGCGGAAGACGAGUAUGCUACAGAAGAAGAAAAAGCCUUCGAAAGAAAACUCUCUUAAUUUAUCUGGCCCAAGGGGUUCAGUAAGAUCUCUUCUUCCCACGGACCGAGUCCAACUAUUUUUUUUAGAAAAAAAAAAAUGAAAGAUCUUUUUGAAGGACAAUUUUGGCAUUAUAAAAAGGGUUAUGCACAAAUUUGAUCAACUCAAAUUUCUAAACUGGUUCAAGGCGACAUGGAUAAUACAAUUUAGAUUAUACCAUUUGAAAUUGAUUUACAAAUUCAAUUUUAAAAUAUUAUAAUUUCUCAACAUAAUUUGAUCCAUUUAUGUCAUUUUGAACAACACAUUAGAAGCCUUAUUUUUAAUUUCUUUUCCAGAUUAUUAUUUAGUGGGAGUGCAAAAUGUUUGAAAGAAAAUAGGUAUAGUUACUAUUAAAAUCAUUAAUACUAUGUAGUAACCUUAGCCACUACUUAUUUGUAACCAUAUAACAUAUUUUACAUAAUUGACUUUCCUCAAGAAGUGAAUUUUUAAGUAAAUCAGUUAGAAGUAAUUAUUUAUCAUAUAUAACACAUGAUAAUAAUAAACAAAUAAACAAAAAGUAGAAAAGUAUUACUAAAGACACGUUUUGCUUCUCCAAAAUUCUACUUUCAUGAAUUUAGAAAUAAGGGUCUAUUUGAAAAGUCAUCUGACAUUUGAAAUUACUGUAAUUAUUAGGGUUGUAAUGUCCAGUCUAGCAAUUACACAACCUAAUAAUAAUGAUGACAUAUUUGUUUUUCAUAAUAUAAUCACAGUAUAAUUACAAGUGUACAGUUUAGUUGCACAAAUGUAAUCACAUGGUUAUAUUAAACUUUUGUCAAUGGUACAAAAUAUUAAUUGUGUCAAAUCAUGUGAUAAUCUUGCAGAUGAACUAACAAGGCCUUAGCAAGAUAAAGGGUUUCAAGCACAUCAAG
RNAcentral lists this long non-coding RNA (29494 nucleotides) under Capsicum annuum. Its description in RNAcentral is "long non-coding RNA (CANN_LNC015275)". The record is from RNAcentral. Lineage: Eukaryota; Viridiplantae; Streptophyta; Magnoliopsida; Solanales; Solanaceae.